UGGUGCAUGAAUUCAUCUUCAACGUGCUCCGGCUGGCAUUGUAAGUAGUUCCGGUGGUUUAGCUCGAGAGCGGAGUAGAUGCACCCGGGAUUUUGUGAUUGAGCGCAAAUCCGAAUAGCGGGUCAAGUCUGCCUGUCAUGAUACCUAAAUGACCGCACGACUGACCAAUUAGACGUCUUUAGAGCCACUUGCAAUCAGCUCGAGCCACGGCACCGUAUAACGCUGGUGAAUCUUUGUCUUCGAAUGGGAAUUCUCAAGUGUAGAGCAGGCGUCUGGAACCGCUGUACCUGAAGAAAAUUGCCGGUUCAUACUAACCUAAGAGGCGGCUGAAUGAACGACUCGACAACAUGCGGCGAGGAAGGAGUCGGCCUUCAUCCUCCUCUUCCUCUGUGAAUUCCCCAGAUGCUUUGGCCCGCCGAGAGAUGGAACGGACCGGAAAGUACGUGAACCAGGGGCAAGGCAUUACAGCAAAUCCUCUGUGAAUCUACGUCUCCUCCUCCCCCUCCUCCUCCUCCUCCUCCUCCUCCUCCUCCUCCUCUCCUCCUCCAGCUCUUCCACCUCCCCUCCCCCGACCUUGUCUUCCUCCUCCUCCUCACACCAGAGUCUCCUUCCCGUGUGACCCUCUCCCC
Molecule: long non-coding RNA, 629 nt
Organism: Gadus macrocephalus (Pacific cod)
Lineage: Eukaryota; Metazoa; Chordata; Actinopteri; Gadiformes; Gadidae
Exons: 3
Source: RefSeq, a predicted model, not a curated record